GACGAACGCUGGCGGCGUGCCUAAUACAUGCAAGUAGAACGCACAGUUUAUACCGUAGCUUGCUACACAAUAGACUGUGAGUUGCGAACGGGUGAGUAACGCGUAGGUAACCUGCCUGGUAGCGGGGGAUAACUAUUGGAAACGAUAGCUAAUACCGCAUAAUAUUGAUUAUUGCAUGAUAAUUGAUUGAAAGAUGCUAUUGCAUCACUGCCAGAUGGACCUGCGUUGUAUUAGCUAGUAGGUGAGGUAACGGCUCACCUAGGCGACGAUACAUAGCCGACCUGCGAGGGUGGUCGGCCACACUGGGACUGAGACACGGCCCAGACUCCUACGGGAGGCAGCCGUAGGGAAUCCUCGGCGAUGGACGAGAGUCUGACCGAGCAAGGCCGCGUGAGUGAAGAAGGUUUUCGGAUCGUGAAGCUCUGUUGUAAGAGAAGAACGGGUGUGAGAGUGGAAAGUUCACACUGUGACGGUAUCUGACCAGAAAGGGACGGCUAACUACGUG
RNAcentral lists this ribosomal RNA (505 nucleotides) under uncultured bacterium. Its description in RNAcentral is "partial 16S ribosomal RNA". It matches the Rfam family "Bacterial small subunit ribosomal RNA", at positions 28 to 507 of the family's 1533-position model. The record is from RNAcentral.